UAUAGGUUAUUAUGUUAUUAUUUUACUGGUCCGACCCACUUGAGAUCAUAUUGGACUGAAUGUGGAACCUAAAAGAACAUGAGUUUGACAUCCCUGUGGUUAUAGUUCAAUGAUUACACAUUUACCUUGAGAUUUUUGAGUGAUGUGUUAAAUAGCGCUCUUCACUUCAUCGACAAACACCAAAUGAGGGAAUGUCCUGUAAAAGAAUGAUGUUCCAUCCCUUCAUCAGUUCACAGACUGGUAGAAUUAGUACUAAGGAACACUCAAAAGACUUUCAAGGCACACGGUGGAACAACACUUUGACUAUAUGUCAUGUUUUUUAUAUUAUUUGUUGUAUUUUCUUUCAUCUGUCACCUGUCUAUACCUAUACUAUGAUUAAAGACAUGACAAACUGU
Sphaeramia orbicularis (orbiculate cardinalfish) is the source of this 395-nucleotide long non-coding RNA. RefSeq lists it as uncharacterized. NCBI's taxonomy places the organism in Eukaryota, Metazoa, Chordata, Actinopteri, Kurtiformes, Apogonidae. The transcript has 3 exons. The record is from RefSeq and is a predicted model, not a curated record.